CCUACGGGAGGCAGCAGUGAGGAAUAUUGGUCAAUGGACGAGAGUCUGAACCAGCCAAGUAGCGUGAAGGAUGACUGCCCUAUGGGUUGUAAACUUCUUUUAUAUGGGAAUAAAAUGUUCCACGUGUGGGAUUUUGUAUGUACCAUAUGAAUAAGGAUCGGCUAACUCCGUGCCAGCAGCCGCGGUAAUACGGAGGAUCCGAGCGUUAUCCGGAUUUAUUGGGUUUAAAGGGGGCGUAGGUGGAUUGUUAAGUCAGGUGUGAAAGUUUGCGGCUCAACCGUAAAAUUGCAGUUGAAACUGGCAGUCUUGAGUACAGUAGAGGUGGGCGGAAUUCGUGGUGUAGCGGUGAAAUGCUUAGAUAUCACGAAGAACUCCGAUUGCGAAGGCAGUUCACUGGACUGCAACUGACACUGAGGCUCGAAAGUGUGGGUAUCAAACAGGAUUAGAUACCCGAGUAGUC
RNAcentral lists this ribosomal RNA (460 nucleotides) under uncultured bacterium. Its description in RNAcentral is "partial 16S ribosomal RNA". It matches the Rfam family "Bacterial small subunit ribosomal RNA", at positions 338 to 795 of the family's 1533-position model. The record is from RNAcentral.